GGUAGUGUGCCGGAUAAAACGGGAUGCGUUGAUGGCGCAUAACAUGGGAUUACUUCACUCCCCACUACCU
RNAcentral lists this transfer RNA (70 nucleotides) under Haliotis asinina. RNAcentral describes it as "tRNA-Ile". The record is from RNAcentral. Lineage: Eukaryota; Metazoa; Mollusca; Gastropoda; Lepetellida; Haliotidae.